AUCUAAUACUGAAAAAAAAAAAAAUUAAAUUCUAAAUUACUCAAUCAUAAAUUAAGUAAUUCUUAUUCUCAAUUCUUUCACUUACCGAAUCAGUCUUCCAGAUGUUCAAAAACAAGAAAUACAAUAUGCCAACUUUCGAAUGGAACACUUUUUCCCAUUAAACUCUGAAAUAAUACUUCCAUAUGUAAAAUCUUCAAGGAAGUAUCCGAGUAUAGAACUCACUGCUGGAAAUGACAAACUUCAAAAUUUCAUUUCUGACAUCAAAAUUUUGUAUUUGAUGGCAAAAAACGAAGACAACUAUUCCAUCAAUAAGUCAUAUCAUUGGAUCUUAAUGCAGAGAGAGUCCUAGCAUUAUCAAUCAGUCUGACAAAAGUUUUAAAUAUUUCGAAGAAUGUUUUAUCGA
RNAcentral lists this long non-coding RNA (403 nucleotides) under Androctonus crassicauda. The record is from RNAcentral. Lineage: Eukaryota; Metazoa; Arthropoda; Arachnida; Scorpiones; Buthidae.